UACGAGGGGGGCAAAUGUUGUUCGGAAUCACUGGGCGUAAAGGGAGCGUAGGCGGGUUUUUAAGUCAGGUGUUUAAUCCCGGGGCCCAACCCCGGACAGGCACUUGAAACUGGGAAUCUUGAAUAGUGGAGAGGUCAGUGGAAUUGGGGGUGUAGCGGUGGAAUGCGUAGAGAUCCCCAAGAACAUCCGUUGCGAAGGCGGCUGACUGGACACAUAUUGACGCUGAGGCUCGAAAGCAUGGGGAGCAAACAGG
This 253-nucleotide ribosomal RNA is filed under the name uncultured bacterium. RNAcentral's name for it is "partial 16S ribosomal RNA". It matches the Rfam family "Bacterial small subunit ribosomal RNA", at positions 524 to 776 of the family's 1533-position model. The record is from RNAcentral.